RNAcentral lists this ribosomal RNA (437 nucleotides) under uncultured bacterium. RNAcentral's name for it is "partial 16S ribosomal RNA". It matches the Rfam family "Bacterial small subunit ribosomal RNA", at positions 29 to 507 of the family's 1533-position model. The record is from RNAcentral.
AGCGAACGCUGGCGGCAGGCUUAACACAUGCAAGUCGAGCGGGCAUCCUUGUGGUGUCAGCGGCAGACGGGUGAGUAACGCGUGGGAACGUGCCCUUCGGUUCGGAAUAACUCAGGGAAACUUGAGCUAAUACCGGAUACGUGCGAGAGCAGAAAGGUUUAUCUGCCGAAGGAUCGGCCCGCGUCUGAUUAGCUAGUUGGUGAGGUUACGGCUCACCAAGGCGACGAUCAGUAGCUGGUCUGAGAGGAUGAUCAGCCACACUGGGACUGAGGCACGGCCCAGACUCCUACGGGAGGCAGCAGUGGGGAAUAUUGGACAAUGGGGGCAACCCUGAUCCAGCCAUGCCGCGUGAGUGAUGAUGGCCUUAGGGUUGUAAAGCUCUUUUCUCCGGGACGAUAAUGACGGUACCGGAGGAAUAAGCCCCGGCUAACUUCGUG